Molecule: non-coding RNA, 600 nt
Filed under: Pongo abelii (Sumatran orangutan)
Lineage: Eukaryota; Metazoa; Chordata; Mammalia; Primates; Hominidae
Source: RNAcentral
UGUUUGGAACCUGGGAUUCAAAUAGCCUGGCAGGAAGUGCUCUAGCAGAGGGACUUUGGCCUUGCGAGAGUCCCUAUUUCCCCCUUUUUUUUUGCUUUUCACCCAGUAAAACCCUGCUUUACUUCCCUUUAAGUCGUCUGUGAGCCUAAAUUUUUGUGGCUGUGGGAAGGACAAGAACCCCAUCUUUAGCUGAAAUAAGGAAAAGUUCUGCAACAUUUUUGGCACACACCCUGGGGGGCUCCGGAAGUGGUUUCCCCAAAUCAAACUUCAGUUUCAAAAUUGUCUUCCCUGGCACCUGGCUUUUUGAAUACUUCAGAGGGCCCCUGAAGUGUCCAGAAAAGAGAGGAAUGCUCUCGGAACUGGACCUUGAUGAAGGAAAUACUCACUUUCUGACUCACUGGAAUUUGUUAUAGUCAAAUUUGCCUAUGUGAUAACUUAGGUCUUCACGAUGGCCCAGAGUAAGACGAGGCAUGAGGACCCUUCUCAUCAUUUAAUUAUUGCUUGACCAAAACUGUGCCUUGUAAGAAAUGCUUGCUGUUUGAAAACCUGUGAAGACCUGCAUCCCUUUGUAUCUCAAAUAAAGACAGAGGUGUUUCCAGA